GGCGGCAUGCCUAACACAUGCAAGUCGAACGGCAGCACGUACUAGUUUACUAGUAUGGUGGCGAGUGGCGGACGGGUGAGUAAUGCGCAGGAAUAUGCCUUAAAGUGGGGGACAACUUGGGGAAACUCAAGCUAAUACCGCAUAAGCUCUUAGGAGUAAAGCUGGGGACCUUCGGGCCUGGCGCUUUGAGAUUAGCCUGCGUCCGAUUAGCUAGUUGGUGGGGCAAGGGCCUACCAAGGCGAUGAUCGGUAGCUGGUCUGAGAGGAUGGCCAGCCACACUGGAACUGAGACACGGUCCAGACUCCUACGGGAGGCAGCAGUGGGGAAUAUUGGACAAUGGGGGCAACCCUGAUCCAGCAAUGCCGCGUGUGUGAAGAAGGCCUGAGGGUUGUAAAGCACUUUCAGUGGGGAGGAGGAUUGACAGGUUAAGAGCUAGUUAAUUGGACGUUACCCACAGAAGAAGCACCGGCUAACUCCGUGCCAGCAGCCGCGGUAAUACGGAGGGUGCGAGCGUUAAUCGGAAUUACUGGGCGUAAAGGGUGCGUAGGUGGUUUAUUAAGUUAUCUGUGAAAUCCCUGGGCUUAACCUGGGCAGGUCAGAUAAAACUGGUGAACUCGAAUAUGGGAGAGGGUAGUGGAAUUUCCGGUGUAGCGGUGAAAUGCGUAGAGAUCGGAAGGAACACCAGUGGCGAAGGCGG
This 697-nucleotide ribosomal RNA is filed under the name uncultured bacterium. Its description in RNAcentral is "bacterial SSU rRNA". It matches the Rfam family "Bacterial small subunit ribosomal RNA", at positions 38 to 724 of the family's 1533-position model. The record is from RNAcentral.